AAUUUACUAUUUUUUUUCUUUUCCUUUUUUUUUAGCGCUGCAUGAGUUUAAAGGUUUACGUAUUCUAGAAUGGAAAAUUUCGCUGAAGAUAAUACAGUCACAGAUGUAGACAAGAAGGGUCUUGUUUCUUAAACAGCUUCAAAUGUCUACAUCUGCAUAACUCAUCACGAUAUCCCAAAUGUGGGGAGAAACACAAGACAAAAGAAAAAGAAAAGAAAAGAAAACUUGGAAAAUAUGCUUAAGUGCUGGUGAAGUGAGCUUCUGUCAGGAACACCAGAAUACAACAAUAUCUGGAACAAUAAUUAACCCCCAAAUACUUCACAAAGUAUAAUGACAUUUCUGAUAAUUACUUGAAAAAUUAAUUCUCAGAAUGUUUAAUACCUAAGAGAAGUCCCUAAACAGACUGCAAAUAUGGAACUGGCUUCUGAAAUUCUGAGAAGGAUGGGAAAUGUGUUUCUCGGUAACCUUGAAUCACAUCCUGACAGUGCCAUCUACCAGCAGCAGUGUAAACUGCAGUGGAAAAGCCAUCCUAUAACCAAUUUCUGACUAUAAAUUACGCAAUUUCUGAGGUCAUGCAAUAUAUAGUUGUGUCUAAUACACAAAGCAUUUUAUUUUUAAUUUAUAAUUGUAAGCUUUUGUUGUGGCCUCAUAACAAAUGAUGGAAGUGGUUUCUAGUUACCAAGAGGGUAUCAGAUAAUCUAUGAAUCACUUCAUGUAGAUCGACGUGGCAACCAAAAUACCACCUCCUGAACUAUUUACUAUUCCACAAUCCAGUUUAUUUUAAUCACUACCAACAUGUUCUUCAGGAUAAUAAUGAGUCCUUUGUCCCUGACCUUCUGUGAGGGUUUCUCAGUCAGUGAACACUGGUGACUUCCUGCAUCACUAACUUUCUCAUGGUAUCCUAAAGUCCAGAAAAGUCCCAUCUUUUAUCCUAGCACUGAUUUAACUUGAUUUUAGAACUCGAAAAUUAGUCUUUAUUUCCUAUAUAACUUUAAAGUAACUGAAAUUAAUUACUAUUAAAUAAUCAAGGCAUUAUCACAAUCUGCUUUUGUAUGAUUUGAUAUGGAGCUUGUGGAAUGGGAGGGGCACCAUUCUAGAGUUUCCCUUGGAGUGCUGCUUCAAAGAAAAGACAUUAAAAUCUCUCCUGAGCAUGUGGUAUAAACUUUUCCGUCCAAAAAUAAUAGUCAAGUGGCUCCACACUCACUCAUUUCCUUCCCUCCUUUUCAUCCUCUUCCUCCUCCUCCUCUUGUGACAGAAGCAGAGAAAUUAAUUUGAGUAUUUUAAAAUAUAUGUCUUGUGGAGGCCAUAGUUUUUUCUCUUUUCUGGACACAAUUAGAAAAUCAGGAGAAAAAGUAAACUGGAGGACAAACAUAUCUAUGAGGCUGAAAAAUAAGCAUUUUUGGAAGAUGAAAUGCAAAUGCUUCCAUGGGUAACUGAAUUGGCUGUGGCUUUUGGUCUACUCUAGGGAUUAAAAAAUUGUUUGUGGGCAUAAACAAUGAAACAUUGUAGACAUUAGUUACUUGCCUCAAGGUAUUUCUUAUUUUACAUAUAACAUUCUUUGUGGAUUACAAAUGAAGUGAAUGAGGAGGGUGUGGGGUUAUGGCUCAGUGGUAGAGCGCUUACUUAGCAUCUGUAAGGGACUGGGUUCGAUUCUCAGCACCACAAAUAAAAAAAAUAUAAUAAAGUCCAUUGACAAUUAAAAAUAUAUUUUAAAAAAUGAAGUGAAUGUCCUGCCUCCUUCCUUUCCCUCCCACCCCUCUUCUUCCCUAUCUGGAAUUCAUUUAUUCCUCCCAUGCUCCCCCUCCCUACCCCACUAUGAGUCAGCCUCCUUAUAUCAGAGAAAACACUAGGCUAGGCAUUUUUUUUUUUUUUGCGGGGGGGGGGGGGGAUUGGCUAACUUCACUUAGCAUUAUCUUCUCCAAUGCCAUCCAUUUACCUGCAAAUGCC
Molecule: long non-coding RNA, 1947 nt
Filed under: Marmota monax (woodchuck)
Lineage: Eukaryota; Metazoa; Chordata; Mammalia; Rodentia; Sciuridae
Source: RNAcentral